Molecule: ribosomal RNA, 880 nt
Filed under: human gut metagenome
Description: bacterial SSU rRNA
Rfam family: Bacterial small subunit ribosomal RNA
Source: RNAcentral
AGAGUUUGAUCCUGGCUCAGGAUGAACGCUAGCUACAGGCCUAACACAUGCAAGUCGAGGGGCAACAUGGUAUCAGCUUGCUGAUACCGAUGGCGACCGGCGCACGGGUGAGUAACGCGUAUGUAAUCUACCUGUAACAGAGGGAUAACCCGGAGAAAUCCGGACUAAUACCUCAUAGCACAUAUUAUUCGCAUGAAUUUUAUGUUAAAGAGACUCGGUUACAGAUGAACAUGCGUUCCAUUAGCUAGUUGGCGGGGUCACGGCCCACCAAGGCAACGAUGGAUAGGGGUUCUGAGAGGAAGGUCCCCCACACUGGUACUGAGACACGGACCAGACUCCUACGGGAGGCAGCAGUGAGGAAUAUUGGUCAAUGGGCGGAAGCCUGAACCAGCCAAGUCGCGUGGAGGAAGACGGCCCUACGGGUUGUAAACUCCUUUUACCUGGGAAUAACGGGCGCUACGCGUAGCGCUGUGCAUGUACCGGGAGAAUAAGCAUCGGCUAAUUCCGUGCCAGCAGCCGCGGUAAUACGGAAGAUGCGAGCGUUAUCCGGAUUUAUUGGGUUUAAAGGGUGCGUAGGCGGAAGAAUAAGUCAGCGGUGAAAUGCUUGCAGCUCAACUGGAGAAUUGCCGAUGAAACUGUUUUUCUAGAGUAUAAAAGAGGUAUGCGGAAUGCGUGGUGUAGCGGUGAAAUGCAUAGAUAUCACGCAGAACUCCGAUUGCGAAGGCAGCAUACUGGGCUAUAACUGACGCUGAAGCACGAAAGCGUGGGUAUCGAACAGGAUUAGAUACCCUGGUAGUCCACGCCGUAAACGAUGAAUACUAACUGUUUGCGAUAUAAUGUAAGCGGUACAGCGAAAGCGUUAAGUAUUCCACCUGGGGAG